RNAcentral lists this long non-coding RNA (201 nucleotides) under Nicotiana benthamiana. Its description in RNAcentral is "long non-coding RNA (NBEN_LNC035029)". Lineage: Eukaryota; Viridiplantae; Streptophyta; Magnoliopsida; Solanales; Solanaceae. The record is from RNAcentral.
UCAUUAGGAGGUUGUUCAACACUUUCGUUGGUUUCAAAUUCGAAGUGCAUCCCAAGAGCAUCCGCAACCAUUUCAUGGUAUAUUGGAUGUUGAAUGGUAUUCCCCAUCGACCUACUACUUUCACCAACAACUACAUUAUGAAAUACACCAUAAGUACCAUCAAUCUCUCCAUGACUAGUCCACACAAAAUAAUUAUCCAUA